RNA transcript from Hipposideros armiger (great roundleaf bat), 1547 nucleotides. It is a transcript of the gene named chromosome unknown CXorf38 homolog, with no coding region annotated. NCBI's taxonomy places the organism in Eukaryota, Metazoa, Chordata, Mammalia, Chiroptera, Hipposideridae. The record is from RefSeq and is a predicted model, not a curated record. The transcript has 8 exons.
CCCUCGCCCUGUGGCUUCCAGGGCCCAUGCUGGACAUGGUGCUUUCCGAGCUGGCCGCGCGGCUCAACUGCGCCGAGUACAAGAACUGGGUGAAGGCGGGCCAUUGCCUGCUGCUGCUGCGUGGCUGCCUGCAGGGCUUCGUCGGUCGCGAAGUGUUGGCCUUCCACCGCGGCCUGCUUGCCGCCGCCCCGGGCCUGGGUCCCCGCGCCACCUGCCGCAGCGGCUCGCGGUGCAGCCCGCGCGCCCGCCAGUUUCAGCCUCAGUGUCAGGUGUGCGCAGAGUGGAAACAGGAAAUUUUGAAACAUCACACCAACAGAAAUGGAGACAUCCACUGGGGAAACUGCCGGCCGGGCCUCUGGCCCGUGGACGCUUGGGAGGUGGCCAAGGCCUUUAUGCCCCGAGGACUGGCAGACAAAACAGGACCCGAGGAAUGUGAUGCAGUUGCUCUUUUAAGCCUCAUCAACUCCUGCGAUCACUUCGUGGUUGAUCGAAAGAAAGUCACAGAGGUGAUUAAGUGCCGUAAUGAGAUCAUGCACUCUUCGGAGAUGAAGGUCUCUUCUGUGUGGCUUCGAGAUUUCCAGAGGAAGAUCCAAAAUUUUCUGAAUGAAUUCAAGAGUAUCCCAGAGAUUGUGGCGGUGUACUCCAGGAUAGAACAGCUGUUGACAUCUGACUGGGCUGUUUACAUCCCCGAGGAAGAUCAGCGAGACGGGUGUGAAUUUGAAGCAGGCGUUUACCUGAGCGUGAGCCAAGUAAAUGAAAUAGAAAUGGAAUUACUAAAGGAAAAACUUCAAGAGAUAUAUCUUCAAGCAAAAGAACAAGAGGUGUUGCCUGAAGAGAUCUCAAAUCAACUGGAAGUGGUAAAAGAAUUUCUAAGAAAAAACGAGGAUCUUAGAACUGGUCUUACAGAAGAUAUGCAGAAGCUAGACAGCCUCCAUCUACAGCAUCAAAAACUGGAGUCAAAGGAACCGGGGGCACAGAGACCUGAGGGGAAGGUCUGAGGCAUGUUCUAUGGAAGUCGGCAUGGCUCCUACCUCAGGCAUCCUGUUCUGUGCAAAAGGAAAAACUUACCAGAGUACUCUACCCAACCAAAACGGAAUUUUUGUUGUCUUUUCCUGGAGUUUCCUUUGACUCUUUGGGAGCAUUUAUAUAUAUAUUCAGAAGCUUGGCGUUGUGUGACCUAUACUGACCAAAAAAAAAUUAGAGGACCCGUACCUCGUUAAUGCAUUUAAUUAACAAAAUCCUAACCUGGAAAGGGCAGUUUCUUCAUCCUCAGGCACCCAGACACUGGAAUACACAUAAAGCCUCAGGCUGUGGUGUCUGAGUGUGAGUCUGGAGUCCAGAGAUAACAUUAUCUUAAAACAGACCAGAUCCCAGGAAGCAAUGUCAGCCCCUGGACCUGCCUGACUGCCUCCCCCUUGCCUUUGUUCUUGUGUGCCUAUAAAACCUUCUGACCCUUCUAGGAACGGGGAGGCGAGGCGGCCUUUGGACAGGAGUCCGCCCGUCCUCCCCGAAUGCUGGCAUUCUGAAUAAACCUGCUUUUCUUUCCA